AUUGUUACUCUAACAAUGGCACUGACAUUUUCUUAGUAAUUAGUAAGUGCUAUUUGUUGGGGUAGUUUUA
Astyanax mexicanus (Mexican tetra) is the source of this 70-nucleotide microRNA precursor. It matches the Rfam family "miR-430 microRNA precursor family". Lineage: Eukaryota; Metazoa; Chordata; Actinopteri; Characiformes; Acestrorhamphidae. The record is from Rfam.